RNAcentral lists this ribosomal RNA (141 nucleotides) under Rangifer tarandus (reindeer). RNAcentral's name for it is "partial 16S ribosomal RNA". The record is from RNAcentral. Lineage: Eukaryota; Metazoa; Chordata; Mammalia; Artiodactyla; Cervidae.
GGAGUAAUCCAGGUCGGUUUCUAUCUAUUGUGUAUUUCUCCCAGUACGAAAGGACCAGAGAAAUAAGGCCAACUUUAAUCAAGCGCCUUAAAUUAACUAAUGAUUUCAUCUUAAUUAGAUACACAAACAUAUCCCGCCCUA